This 115-nucleotide ribosomal RNA is filed under the name uncultured bacterium. RNAcentral's name for it is "partial 16S ribosomal RNA". It matches the Rfam family "Bacterial small subunit ribosomal RNA", at positions 1369 to 1482 of the family's 1533-position model. The record is from RNAcentral.
CGUUCCCGGGCCUUGUACACGCCGCCCGUCACGUCACGAAAGUCGGCAACACCCGAAGCCGGUGGCCCAACCCUUGUGGAGGGAGCCGUCGAAGGUGGGGCUGGCGAUUGGGACG